Pongo pygmaeus (Bornean orangutan) is the source of this 3697-nucleotide long non-coding RNA. RefSeq lists it as uncharacterized. The record is from RefSeq and is a predicted model, not a curated record. The transcript is spliced from 5 exons. NCBI's taxonomy places the organism in Eukaryota, Metazoa, Chordata, Mammalia, Primates, Hominidae.
UUCUGCUAGAGAAAAGUGGGGAUUGGGGUGGGGAGAUCAUUUUUAGGAGUGGGUGAAACUGGGAUGGAGGAGGUACGGGGUGGGGCACAGGGUGGACCAAGUGAAGUGGAACGGUGGAAAGUAGGUACCAGAUUUGGAAAAGCUUGGGAGUAGGUAUGCAGUGGGUGGUGCUCAUGUUGUACAGGCAGGGCAGUGGCAGUUCUGGGUCCAUCUUGGUUUGUUUUGUGUGGAAGUGUCUGUACUUCUUAAAGUUUUUCUCAUGCACUUGGAAGGGAACCAAGCAAAUGUGGGUCUGACUUCUGAUUCCCCCAUCAACUGGCUUUGUGGCUUUGGGCAAAUCCUGUCCUAACCUCAUUUCUUCAUCUGUAAAGUGGGGGUUGUGCCUACCUUGAAGAGUGGUUUUAAGGAUUAGAGAUAACAUAUGCAAAAUCCUCUCUAGGAUAUUAGCAGGCUCUUAGAAACAGCAAUUUUACAAGUUGUUAUUGUCUAUUCUCUGCUGCAAGAAAGGUCCUAUUCUUGUCAGGGACAUGUCCCUUGGGUCACUUCCUUUGAUCUCCCCAGGUUUUCUUCUGAGGGUACCAUCCUCCCAACUCCCUAGGCUAUUUUUCAGAGCUCCAGACUUGCCUCCUGUAUGAAGACCAGCCUGAUCCUUCCAGCAAAUGACCCUCCUAUGAACAUUCUGAGAAGCAGGUUCAACUCUCUUAAGCCACUUAUUGCAUUCUGCAUAGUAGAAUAAGUGUUAGUGUUCAUAGUCCACUCCUUCUGUUAGAAAAUAAGCCCUUGGAAGUUUGAGAGCCUCCAGGCCUCUUGGAACCAGCUCUGACACCAGGUGGUGAUCAUACUCCCUGGCAGCAGUUAUCAUCCCAAGUACUAGAGGGCAGAGACUGGGCUUCUUCCUCUCCAGCACUUGGGGUGCCCUGUACAUGUGAAACACUCAACUGACUGACCACGUGAUCCCAGGAGAGCAGUGAGGAUGCUCCUGAUAUAGAAGAGCAGAAAAUCCCUUUGGAGCAGAACCAAGGCUUUCCUGUGCCUCACUGAUCCUCUCUGUUCCUGCCAGUCUAACUGACCUGCAAAGCCUUUGCACCAGAGCUCCUCCUGCCAAACCUAUUCCGUGUGUGAGAAACUCUAUUUUCCUAUGGUAUCCUAUACCCUGAUGACCCUUCCCACAUUCUACCUUGUAUUACGGUAAACUUGUGUACAUGUUUUUGUCCUAAUCAGCCUGUAAGCACCUUGACUGCUCUGUCUUCAUGGUUUAAAGAAUAUCUUACAUGUGCACAACCACUUCAUCUGUUGCCUCACUUGACCCUCACAAUGGAGCUGUGAGGGAGGUACUUUCUGCUGGAGACAGACAUGGAGCAGGGAACUGAUUUGCUGUCUCUCAGCAAUAAAGGUUUACUGCAUGAAUAAGGAUGACAAAUGAGAAUUCUGGACUAUCCCCCCCCCCGGGCUCCUGAAUAAUCCCAGGCAUUCAAGGGUACUUCUCUUCUGCUAUUACAAUGAAUUACAUGUGGAGCUAUGAAGACUUCGGGCUUGAACAGUUGCCGCUAGAGCUCUCCAUCUUGCUGGAAGGGCUUCUUCCAGGCCUUGGUCAGGAGGCUCCCUGGGUGCUACAUACAGGAUUUUUUUGAGGAUAUGGAGAUGCGCAGGACACAAUCCCAGCAAUCCAGGUGCUUACAGGCUGAUUAUACAGCCAUACACACAGAGUGCCACGACGCAAAAUAGGAUAUGGUAAGGGUCAUGCAAGUUCAGAGGAGAAAGCAAGUGUGGCUGAUAAACAUCACGGAGCAGUGACCUUCAUGGACAGACAGAAUUUGAGCUGGCCCUUUAACCAAUGAGGAGGAUUCAAACAGAGUUUGUAUUAUCCUGAGAAGAAAUUCCACUAAAGAUGAAUAGCAGAGAACUGUGUUCAGAUGAAGAAACUGAGGCACAGGGAAGUUAGGUAAUUUGUUCGGACAGCUGAUGAAUGGAGAACCAGGAUUUGCAGUGAGAAUGAAUUCAACCAGCUUCUCUCAUCUGGAAAUGCUAUGAAGAAACCGAAUGCUUCACAUUUGGAAAAUGGGAGAUUAACUGAAGGAAGUAUACUAGAAGACCUUGAUUCAGCUCCUCCUGCUAGCUUGUGGUAUAGUUCUGCCACUAGUUUGAUGUGUGACCAUGUGGAUGGGGUUUUGCCAUGUUGCCUAGGCUGGACUCAAGCAAAUUCCUGGACUCAAGCAAUGCGCCCUCCUUGGCCUCCAGAAGUGCUGGGAUUACAGGCAUGAGCCACCUUGCUCAACCUCUUCUCUUUACUAGGGUUUAGCUUCCCAACUGAUGAAACAGAAUCAGGCCAGUGGUUUUCCUACCUUCUUUUAGCCAAAGAACCCUUUCUUCAAAUCAAAUUCUACAGAGAAGCCCAAUACAUAAAAUAGGUAAAUGCAACUCAGCACCCCCUACCCCACUCCCACUAGGUUCUUUCUAUACCUCCUCACACCUUGGGGUUCUGUGGCACAUUAAUGGAAAAGCACCUCUGAGUUUCUUCUUGCCUUCGCCAGGACUUCAUGAUAAACAAAGACAGUUUUCUCUACUACUAACUGAUCAGCGCAAUCUCAUUAGCAUCUCUUCUGCCAUGCAUUUUGAUCUUGCAGGAAUUGUAAUAUGGCCUGUCUCUCAGAACACAGUGUAGUAGAUGAUAGCUCAGCUCUGGAGUCAGAAAAAUCCAGGUGUGUACCUUGGCUCUGCCUGUCUGAUAGCUGUGUGACCCAGGAUAUAUGCCUUAACUUCUUUAGUUAGCUACUUUCCUUCUCUCUAAAAAUCGGCUAAUAAUAUCUUUGUCAUGGUAUAAUGUGAUUACAGGAUGAGUAAGAAUGUAUUUUAGGCUCAAAGCCUGGCAUAUAGUAAACACUUUAAAAAGGAAAGAUUAGUGGGAUGUGCCCCCCAUGCCUCCAUCCCCGGCUCCUUAGGUGUAAACUCUGAGCCACACAGGCUCUGCUGGGGACCGGGGAGCAAUGUCUGUAGCCCAGAGUCUCACCAUCCUAAUAUAGACAGAAGGAAGCCUGGCUACCCUCCCUACCACCCAUUGUUCUAGGCUCAUCUUCACUGGAGUUCUAGGCUCACUGUUCUCUCAUCUUCCCGGUAUAGGCAGGAGCUGGGCAUACAACAGUUGUAACUAAGACUUUCGGGCAAUUCUGGCUGGUAAGGGCUCCAUACUUUGAAGCAAGCAGUCUCCACUGAACUUUGUCUUUGCCCCUCUGUGGCUUUAUUCCCUAAGUUAAGCCUAAACUUACUGACAGCUAAGAAUGGUACUGAUGCUUCCCCAUAAAUGUCUCUUAUGCAUCAUCCUAUCCCUCCCAAAAGACUAUGCAGGGGGAGUACAGUAACUUUUUAGGGUUCACUGUGCAGCAGAAAAUGACUUCUUCAAUGUUUUCUUUAACUCCCACUUCCUUGGCCAUAGUUUAUUGGCUCUGGGGUAGAAAUCUGAUAGAAUUUAGGGAUCCCAAUUAAGGGAUUUUAUUGAUUCUGAGCUGCUCUUUUGAAGCAAGAAAAAACUGGUCUGCAGAGAGAAGUGGAAAUGAAUGAAUACAGAGGUUCUACCCAGUGGAUUUAAUUCCUGGUUUCAGUUUUGCUUGAGGCUGGGUGUACUUGUUCUUAAAUCAUGUGACACACCUCAAUAUCCUCAAAUAAAUGCCCCCUUUUUUAUUUAAAAAAAAAGUUAGAAAUA